Non-coding RNA from Paramisgurnus dabryanus, 2398 nucleotides. The record is from RefSeq and is a predicted model, not a curated record. NCBI's taxonomy places the organism in Eukaryota, Metazoa, Chordata, Actinopteri, Cypriniformes, Cobitidae.
GUUUAACGGCUGUCUGCGUGAUCAUCGAGAAAGUGCAUUGAGGUAAGGAAAUAUCAAGUCAAUAAGUCAAUGUUUAAAACGCGUAACAUUAUUUUAUUCACACAUAAAAUGUUUUAUGUUUAAUAUGCAUCGUGCUUUUUCUGUUAUUUGUGAACGUAUCCGUUAUAAUGGUUGAUUCGCUAUUCCACGGCAUGUUCCCGCCGAAAUUGGACUACGGUUACAUUAAUAUGAUUGUAAUAUGAAUAUUAAUCAAUUAAUAUGAUAUCUGGUCUUAUCAACUUAACCACUUGGUUGUUUAUUGCUUCAGAAAAGACUUAAAUGUAAGGGCUUUUUGGACAACUGUUCGGUAGAAAAGCGUUGAUAUCGUAUCGUAGUUCAGUCAGUGAAUAUCUGAUAGGUCUUACAGGCGCCACAGACACCUCUGUCAGUCAUUUGUAAAGAGGAGCAGCACGGCAGCUGGAUGAGUGCGGUCAGUUAAUUAAUGCUGCUUGCUUAAUUUCAUGUUACUGAUUAAGUGUUUAUACUUAACGUUAGAUGAGAUGUUGGUGUUUUAUUGCUCGCCAAUUUGCAAUAACUGCAUUUAUCAGGCAUCACACGUUACGUCACACGCUUAUGCUUGUAUCUGCGGUCCCUCGCGCUGUAUCCAUGAUUUAAAGCGGAAUAAAACUCUUAACUCCUUUGUAAGGAAAAAGUCAAACAGUGUAAGUUGUUGGCAUGUGCUAUUUGAAUUGAAAUGAAGUGUAAUGGUAUUAUUUUGCUUACUUCUCUUGAUGAAUAAUUAGCAAGUUUAAUGGAACUUGAAAAUAUUAGUUAUCCAGACAAAUGUGCUCUUGUUUUCAGUGUAUUUUUAUAACUCUUUUGUAAUGUCUUUGUUAUCAGAGCCCUUCAAAUUAAAAAUAGUGAUGGUGAUCUUGUCAAUGCUGAGAUUUUAAUGCAUCAACAGCCAUUACAUCUGGCCGGAUCAGGAUUGAACAAGAAUCAGACAGCAAGGGUUGUCACAUCAGAAACGUAAUAACACAAACAUAAGAAACUUCACAGGGCUGUGACAGUGACAGUAUUUUACCACCGCAAUGGUAAUGCACCAAUUCACCACUGUGGUGCGGUGGUUAUAGAAUGUGUUUGUGUGAGGGGGGAGGCGGCAAUUUCUUUUUCCGCCGGUGGGUGCUCAUCACAACCUCAAGCUUUACUUCGCAAUGCCAGGUGCUCUAGAGUCUGGAGCGCUCAAAGGCUUUGAAGAGGUGGAAAGUGGCGCAGUCACGUUUUCGUGUGAAUUGUGAAGUUAAAGGCAGAUCACUGUGCAACUUGGUGAAGUCAUGUGUCUUUCCAGAUGGCCAAAUCUGUACCCCUCAAAAAAACUUUAUUAAAUGCCAUGAUAGACAAGAUGAGCCUUAAGAGGAGAUUUGGGAAGAUGCUGUUUCAUAAGUCUUUGCUUUGCCAGAUUAUUUGUGGUUGGGGUGUCUGCCAACGUGAUGCCUUGCUGGUCUGGUUUGAGUUUGAAGUCUCUCACAGACAGUCCAGAAGGUCUGGAGUCCAUCUUAGCUUUCAUUGAUGCUGUCAUCAUUUUUUAAGUGCAUGAGCCAGAAUGGACGGGUGGUGGUGGCCAUAAGAAGACUGUCAACUAAACUAGGGUGACCAUACGUGCCAUUCUUCCCGGACCCGUCCUGUCCAGUCUUUUGGAACUCGUAUUUGUCGACUGCAUACGUCACAGAGGAUUAUUACUAUUAUUACAGAAAAGCAACCGUUACAUUUUAAGGUAAGAAGAAUGAAACUACGAUUGUAUAUCUUAUGUUAUUAACUGAAUGGCGUAUGCGGUCAACAAAUACGACUUCCGGAAGACGCACCGAAAUCCUGGACGGGAUGCGUCCGGGAAGAAUGGCACGUAUGGUCACCCUAACUAAACCAACAACAAAAUUCAUAUUUGCAGUUAUAAAUAAAAUGACUUUUAAACCUGAUUUUGUUUUCUUAUUUUAUGAUUUCAUUCUAUAUUUGGAAUAUUCCAUUUUUGCACUACUAACUGGAAACUGUUUGAAAGAAUGUGUUUUUAUUAAAAGACAAAUUUCAAAGGUGAAUCAUAUGCCGGCUGGGAUAUCAAAAUAGCAUUAAAAUGACAUCAACAUCAUAACAUCCUGAUAUCAAAUAGAUGUAGAAUUGACAUCAAAAUGACAUCAGCAGGGGUCAAAAUCUUGACAUCAAAUUGACAUCAACACUUUGACGUCAAAAUGACUUUCAUUUUUGACCUAUUCUGUGACGUAAUUUUGACGUCGAUGUUUGAUGUCAAAUUGAUGUUAAAUUGACAUCAAAUGCCCGCUGGGAUGCUGCUGUCGGUUAGUUUUUUCCAUUAGUGAGAUGUUGCUGCUUCGCUAGCUAACAUACACUGACACAAAUUUCAUGUCGCAGG